GGAGGGGUGGCCGAGUGGCUGAAGGCGCACGCUUGGAAAGCGUGUAUGCGGGAGACCGUAUCGCGGGUUCGAAUCCCGCUCCCUCCGCCA
RNAcentral lists this transfer RNA (90 nucleotides) under Rhodospirillaceae bacterium TMED8. Its description in RNAcentral is "tRNA-Ser". It matches the Rfam family "tRNA". Rfam says of the family: Transfer RNA (tRNA) molecules are approximately 80 nucleotides in length. Their secondary structure includes four short double-helical elements and three loops (D, anti-codon, and T loops). Further hydrogen bonds mediate the characteristic L-shaped molecular structure. tRNAs have two regions of fundamental functional importance: the anti-codon, which is responsible for specific mRNA codon recognition, and the 3' end, to which the tRNAs corresponding amino acid is attached (by aminoacyl-tRNA synthetases). tRNAs cope with the degeneracy of the genetic code in two manners: having more than one tRNA (with a specific anti-codon) for a particular amino acid; and 'wobble' base-pairing, i.e. permitting non-standard base-pairing at the 3rd anti-codon position. RNAcentral also lists the same sequence under 1 other name. Lineage: Bacteria; Pseudomonadati; Pseudomonadota; Alphaproteobacteria; Rhodospirillales; Rhodospirillaceae. The record is from RNAcentral.